AGUGGGAUAGCUGGGUCAAAUGGUGGUUCCAUUCCAAGUUUUCUGAGGAAUCUCCAUACUGCUUUCCAUAAAGGUUGCACCAAUUUGCAGUCCCACCAGCAAU
This 103-nucleotide microRNA precursor is filed under the name Marmota monax (woodchuck). The record is from RNAcentral. Lineage: Eukaryota; Metazoa; Chordata; Mammalia; Rodentia; Sciuridae.